This 1729-nucleotide long non-coding RNA is filed under the name Nicotiana tabacum (common tobacco). RNAcentral describes it as "long non-coding RNA (NTAB_LNC004124)". The record is from RNAcentral. Lineage: Eukaryota; Viridiplantae; Streptophyta; Magnoliopsida; Solanales; Solanaceae.
GUCGAGGUUCGGUCAAAGUUCAGUUCGUUGCUGUUGUUAGCUGACCUUGUGCCGAGGUUCUGUACUAAUUCAAUAUUGGGAAAGGAAUUGUUGCUAUUAAAAGGCCACACUUUAACUUUACUUAUCCUUCUAAUUGCUAGAUCUGGUGUCAUGGCUCUAUGAAUUUUUAUUUGAUUUUGCUUGUUUCAGUCUUACUGUUUAUGUGAUAGUAGUAGUUUGGGGUUUCGUGAAUACUUAAGGGAGGGGAAUUAUUGUGUGGAUUCCAUAGGGUGGAAAAUAGAAAAACAGAAAUAAAGUAGGCCUCUUGAGGUGGCACAUGCAUUUGCUCGCUAUUGAGUUUCUACACAGAUUAGUAUAAGAUCUUCUCUUUUGCAAAGUCAUAAAGAAGUAAGAAAGAUCCAAAUGUACAGUAGUAGCCAUAAGGACAUUGAGAUCCGAACUUAUACACUACGUUUAAUUUGUGAAACAAAUCAAUUUGGAUUUAGUAUAUAUCAACCAUGUGUGGUUAAUGUGAGCUAUUGAAUGUUUGUUCAAAGUGGUAAAUGGGGUUUGAUAUUGGGGUGCUUUAGAAGUUGAAUCCAAUGACUGAAAUCAUUUGGUGAAGAUUUGAGUGAGUUUGAAGCCGCGUAUCCUAUGCCUCAUUCCUACGCCCUUCCCUACGCGACUACUCGAUGCAACAGGUUUGACUUUUCUAAGUUAAAACUUAGCCUCAUGAACUAAAUUUGAUCUUUGAGUUAUGAGAGUUGAAAAUAGCUUCUAAUUUACUGUAGUCCGAAUCCAUUUAGUGUGAUUAAUUGAGGAAUUUUAGUUGAGAAGCUGAGUGUAGAGGGUGUUGAACUAAGCUUGGGAUAAUUAGUUGUCUAAAAGGAUUCAAAUCCCAACUGUGGUUAAAAGUAAUUAGAAAUCCUUUAAAGAUAGCCUAAGAUUUCUUUAAUAAAAGGGAUUAUCUACCUAACCAACUAAAGAAGCUUCUAGUAUUGGUAGGGUUUAGAUUUCACUAUUAGAAAAUUUAAUUCAAUAAGGGUUGAGUGGAAUCAAUUUUUAAAAUGUUGAAAGGCCAUUUUGUGAAUCAAAGAGGCAUUUUCUAUUGGCCUAUUUAAGCUAAGAGACUGAAUUCAAAGGGGGACACAGAUAGACACACAAAAAACACAAGAGAGAACAAUAGAGAGUUAAGAGCUGAAAAAUACAGAGAUAGAGGUGGCUGGAACUUCAAGAGAGAAAAUUUAGAAAAAAUAAAAAAUAGCUGAAAACCAAAAAAAAAGGGAAGAACUACUGUUCCAUUGCAUUUUCUUUUCUAUAAUUUUAAGAGGCUUGUAGUUUUCUGAAGAUUGUCCAAGGAUCUAGUGUGGGAAUGGAGUAGAUUUGGUUGUUUGAAGUUUGGUUGUGAAGUUGGUUGGUUAUUGCUCAAUUGAAACUGUUUUCUCUUACUUCCGAUUCAUUUUCCUGGGUUGAAUUUUUGCUACUAGUGCUAUUUUUCCUGCUGCGUACUGCUGACUCAUCACUCCUUUUGGCUUUGUUUAUCUUGCUGUUGUAACCAGGUACAUUCCCCUUGACUUCUGAUGACUAUAGGUUUCAUAAUGAAGAUGAAAUGAGAAUUGGAAGCAUGACAUCAAAUCUGUGUUGUUCUUUUAUGAUGUUUAUAUGCUUAGUCACCCAGUUCAAUGUAAUUUAGUUGUUUUCAGUUGGAUUUAACUAAGAUAUUAUGUUAUAAUUGAACCAUGAACUGUUG